CUGAAGAUACAGCAAAGGGCAAUGCAGAUAAAGCUUCCUUCUCUCAUGUGAAUGGGGGGAAAAAUAACAAUGCCCAUUUGUUCAUUUCAUGGAGCUAGGAUUCUUCCCAUUCCCCUGUUCCACACCCUGCCCCAGAGCAGCCCCAUUCUGGCAUGUCUGCAUCUCCCAGCUAUGAGUGCUGAUUCUAAGGGAAGACCACCAGCCUGAGCUCCAGGAUGGCUCAGAACUUCCCUCCCUGCCACACCCUAAAAACCCCAUCCAUCUAGGGCCAGUCACUGGAGGAGGGGGUGCACCACAACAGACACCAGAGUAGUCACUCGAUGCCCAGUCCUUGUUGCUCCCAGCUCACCAGUCUUCCAGCCCAGCAGCCCGAGUGGUCUCUAUAAACCUACCCUGGAUGGGGUUGCACACCCACCUUCUAAAAGCUCACUCAUUGAAAAUCAGACCCUCUCUCUUCCUCUUCCUCACUCACACAAGGCCUCAUCUCCCUCCUCCGGUCCCCCCUCUCUCCUCUCAGCCUCCCUGCUUCCUCCCAGCCUCCUUACCUCCUCUUAGUCUCACAUCCCUCCUCCCAGCCUCACCUCCCUCUUAUCGCCUCACCUCCCUCUUCUCAGCCUCCCCUCCCUCCUCACCUCCUCAGCCUCCCUGUCUCCUCCUAGUCUCACCAACUUCCUCCCAGCCUUACUUCCCUCUUCACAGCCUCACCUCCCUCUGCCUCAUCUUCCUGCUUCCUCCCUGCCUCCUCUUAGCCUCACCUCAGGCUCCUAGCCUCACCUUACCCAGUUCUUUAUCUCUCUAGGCCUCCAUUCCUUCUACCUGAAUCCAGGAUGCUCUUCCCCCAUCACUGCCAGCGUCAAGCUAGCCCUUCAGAUCCAACUACAUCGUGAUUUAUACUGUUUUGGGGGACACAGCAAUUAUUUGCCUGAUGUCUACAUCUCCUACCCACUGAAAACUCCAUGAAGGAAGCCUUGGAGAUAGGUACAGCCACAAAAGUGUACAGCAGGGCAAGAUCACAAAAGCCACAGCUAUCUGACUGAAGGACCAUCACAGGAGAUCCAUAAGAACAGGAAAGUACUGGGGAUAUCACACAGAGGGAGGAGCUUGGGAAAGCAGUUCCAUCAAGUUGUUUAUAAACUUCUGGGACACACCCCUGAGCUUCUCAUAAAAGGAUAAGAUACUAAACAGGAUGUAAAAAAAAAAACCUGUGAAAACAAAAUUUAAAGACAAGUUACCAUCCAGAUUCUAGACUGGUCACUGGGUGAUACACA
Molecule: long non-coding RNA, 1268 nt
Organism: Neofelis nebulosa (Clouded leopard)
Lineage: Eukaryota; Metazoa; Chordata; Mammalia; Carnivora; Felidae
Exons: 3
Source: RefSeq, a predicted model, not a curated record